Molecule: long non-coding RNA, 469 nt
Filed under: Vitis vinifera (wine grape)
Lineage: Eukaryota; Viridiplantae; Streptophyta; Magnoliopsida; Vitales; Vitaceae
Description: long non-coding RNA (VVIN_LNC000033)
Source: RNAcentral
UUUGAAAUUUGAGCGCACGGGAGUAUUAUAUCCUGUUGUAGUAUCAUGGUACAGAUGAUGUUCUCUUUUCCUUUUUGUCUUCCCUCUUGUCCUUACAUUCAUCAAAGAUGGUGUGACUUUAAUGACUGAUUUGUACUCAUCAAAGAUGGUGUGACUUUAAUGACUGAUUUGUACUUAAUUGAUAGCAGUGGGAAUUUUCAUUCUACUUCCAACUUCAUUGCCUUUCUAUAUUCAUAUUUUACACAAUGAUCCAAGUAACACUGGUGGUUAUAGUAACAGUUGCUGUGCAGCUAAGCUUUUAAGUUUGUUGUCUCAUGAGUUCCAUGAGAAGCCCUUUCUAACUGCAUAACCCGGUGAUAAAAGAGGUUGCGGGAUGAUGGGCACAUGGAAGAGGGACAUCAAACUAUUGAUGAUUUCUUAGCUAUUGGUUCUAAUUCUUGGUGCCUGCUGUUGAGAUGUGUCUUGCCAG